Long non-coding RNA from Phacochoerus africanus (Common warthog), 715 nucleotides. RefSeq lists it as uncharacterized. The record is from RefSeq and is a predicted model, not a curated record. The transcript has 4 exons. NCBI's taxonomy places the organism in Eukaryota, Metazoa, Chordata, Mammalia, Artiodactyla, Suidae.
UGCCUUCCGUCCCCAUCAGCUGCGUGGCCUGGCUCUCUGGUCGGACGACGUCCGGCAGGAUCACCCCGCGGGGCCCGUCUUUUUCCAGGAUGGGCGGCUCUGUUCGCAGAGAACGAGAGACGGUUCCUGCUGUGCUGGUCCGAGCACAGGGACCUUCCCGGAGGUGACCCAGGCACACGCUGGAGCCGGGACAGCAGCACUGGCUGGUGCCGGAGGGAUCUCGAGAACGGCAGUCCCCAGCAGACCCAGGCGGGGUCUCCAGGAUGAUCAUCUCUAGCUGCCUCCAUGUUGCUGCAACCUACAUUGUUUCAUUUUUUAUGGGCUUCAAAAUAGUUCUGAUGAAAUAAGCGAAAGAACAGGAGCUGAGGCAUGUUAUACUACACACGACCUGCCGACCUCAAACCCUCACCACGGCACAGAUGGGAAAACAGAUGUGCCUCAGGGCAGAAAAAGGGACUGGCCCAUCACCGGAGAGCAGGCUGGGGCUGGGACAAACCGUCGGCAAAGCACAAAGCAGCCAAGACAGGGGGGACACAGGACACUAGGCACUGUGGAGGGUCCUUGGGGGCAGCUUUCUGCAGGUGCCCCCAGCCCCAUUGAGCCAGACAUGCCCGGACCUCGCAGGCAGGUAACGGAAGUGGGUACUACCGCAGGGGCUGAGGCGGGCUGACGUCGCUGUCACCAAAGGGCACUAAGCUGCAUUUGUGGGUUUAGA